ACUCGUAUAGUAUAAAAAUUAUUUUUAACUUCCAAUUAAAAGAUCUAACUAAAUUUAGUACGAGUU
Molecule: transfer RNA, 66 nt
Filed under: Bostrichoidea sp. 7 KM-2017
Lineage: Eukaryota; Metazoa; Arthropoda; Insecta; Coleoptera
Description: tRNA-Gly
Source: RNAcentral